UAAGAUCAAGUGUAGUAUCUGUUCUUA
Molecule: non-coding RNA, 27 nt
Filed under: Drosophila virilis
Lineage: Eukaryota; Metazoa; Arthropoda; Insecta; Diptera; Drosophilidae
Also listed under: 8 other names
Source: RNAcentral